Equus caballus (horse) is the source of this 669-nucleotide non-coding RNA. Lineage: Eukaryota; Metazoa; Chordata; Mammalia; Perissodactyla; Equidae. The record is from the annotation of a RefSeq genome assembly.
AUAUUGGAAGUAUUGCCCUUAUUUCCCUGCACCAUUUGAACCCACAAUUUUGGAGAGAUCUCUUACAGUCUCACCAGGACACUGUGGGUGGAGUUUCCUGUUAAGUGAAUGACAGAGCUCAGAUAUGAUGGGUGCUCAGUGAUUCUGGUGGAACAUACUGACUAUGACAACAAAAUUUGUCUGGACCCAAGACUCUACAAGCUCCACAGGGCAAGGGGUCAUGAAGAGACAACUGGGAGCUCUGCUGGGGCUUCUGUGGGUCCAGGUUUUCUGGGUGAGAGCGCUAAAGGUGGAACAGAGUCCUUCAGCCCUGAGCCUCCAGAAGGGAACCAGCUCUACUCUGAGGUGCAAUUUUUCUGCCACUGUGAACCGUGUGCAGUGGUUCAGACAGAAUCCUGGGAGCGGCCUCAUCAAUCUACUUUUCUUGACUUCAGUAACGAAGCAGAAUGGAAGAUUAAACUCCACAAUAAAUACUAAGGAACUGUAUAGUAAUCUACAUAUCACGGACUCCCGACUGGAAGACUCAGCCACCUACCUCUGUGCAGUGAGGCACAGUGCUCCCAGGUGAUCUGCAGCCUGUACCCAAACUGCAGCUGGGCCUGCAGCCCCACCCCUUCCAUGGGGUGCUCAUGUUGCCCCAACAGCAGCCUUUGCACAUCUAUGGGUUUU